RNAcentral lists this ribosomal RNA (441 nucleotides) under uncultured bacterium. RNAcentral's name for it is "partial 16S ribosomal RNA". It matches the Rfam family "Bacterial small subunit ribosomal RNA", at positions 338 to 795 of the family's 1533-position model. The record is from RNAcentral.
CCUACGGGUGGCAGCAGUGGGGGAUAUUGCACAAUGGGGGGAACCCUGAUGCAGCGACGCCGCGUGGGUGAAGGAGUGCUUCGGCAUGUAAAGCCCUAUCGGCAGGGAAGAAGCAAGACGGUACCUGACUAAGAAGCCCCGGCUAACUACGUGCCAGCAGCCGCGGUAAUACGUAGGGGGCGAGCGUUAUCCGGAUUCACUGGGUGUAAAGGGAGCGUAGACGGCCAUGCAAGCCAGGGGUGAAAGCCCGGGGCCCAACCCCGGGACUGCCCUUGGAACUGCAUGGCUGGAGUGCGGGAGGGGCAGGCGGAAUUCCUGGUGUAGCGGUGAAAUGCGUAGAUAUCAGGAGGAACACCGGCGGCGAAGGCAGCAUACCGGUGCACAACUGACGCUCAGGCACGAAAGCGUGGGUAUCGAACAGGAUUAGAUACCCUAGUAGUC